RNAcentral lists this ribosomal RNA (253 nucleotides) under uncultured bacterium. RNAcentral's name for it is "partial 16S ribosomal RNA". It matches the Rfam family "Bacterial small subunit ribosomal RNA", at positions 524 to 776 of the family's 1533-position model. The record is from RNAcentral.
GACGGAGGGGGCUAGCGUUGUUCGGAAUUACUGGGCGUAAAGGGCGCGUAGGCGGUCUUGUGUGUCAGGGGUGAAAUCCCAGAGCUUAACUCUGGAACUGCUCCUGAAACUGCAAGACUAGAGUGACUAAGAGGUGGACGGAAUUCCGAGUGUAGCAGUGAAAUGCGUAGAUAUUCGGAGGAACAUCAGUGGCGAAGGCGGUUCACUGGUAGUCAACUGACGCUGAGGCGCGAAAGCGUGGGGAGCAAACAGG